UUAAGUUAUUAAGGGCGCACGGUGGAUGCCUUGGCACUAGAAGCCAAUGAAGGACGUUACUAACGACGAUAUGCUUUGGGGAGCUGUAAGUAAGCUUUGAUCCAGAGAUUUCCGAAUGGGGAAACCCAGCAUGAGUUAUGUCAUGUUAUCGAUAUGUGAAUACAUAGCAUAUCAGAAGGCACACCCGGAGAACUGAAACAUCUUAGUACCCGGAGGAAGAGAAAGAAAAUUCGAUUCCCUUAGUAGCGGCGAGCGAAACGGGAAGAGCCCAAACCAACAAGCUUGCUUGUUGGGGUUGUAGGACACUCUAUACGGAGUUAUAAAGGACGACAUUAGACGAAUCAUCUGGAAAGAUGAAUCAAAGAAGGUAAUAAUCCUGUAGUCGAAAAUGUUGUCUCUCUUGAGUGGAUCCUGAGUACGACGGAGCACGUGAAAUUCCGUCGGAAUCUGGGAGGACCAUCUCCUAAGGCUAAAUACUCUCUAGUGACCGAUAGUGAACCAGUACCGUGAGGGAAAGGUGAAAAGCACCCCGGAAGGGGAGUGAAAUAGAACCUGAAACCGUGUGCUUACAAGUAGUCAGAGCCCGUUAAUGGGUGAUGGCGUGCCUUUUGUAGAAUGAACCGGCGAGUUACGAUUUGAUGCAAGGUUAAGCAGUAAAUGUGGAGCCGUAGCGAAAGCGAGUCUGAAUAGGGCGUUUAGUAUUUGGUCGUAGACCCGAAACCAGGUGAUCUACCCUUGGUCAGGUUGAAGUUCAGGUAACACUGAAUGGAGGACCGAACCGACUUACGUUGAAAAGUGAGCGGAUGAACUGAGGGUAGCGGAGAAAUUCCAAUCGAACCUGGAGAUAGCUGGUUCUCUCCGAAAUAGCUUUAGGGCUAGCCUCAAGUGAUGAUUAUUGGAGGUAGAGCACUGUUUGGACGAGGGGCCCCUCUCGGGUUACCGAAUUCAGACAAACUCCGAAUGCCAAUUAAUUUAACUUGGGAGUCAGAACAUGGGUGAUAAGGUCCGUGUUCGAAAGGGAAACAGCCCAGACCACCAGCUAAGGUCCCAAAAUAUAUGUUAAGUGGAAAAGGAUGUGGCGUUGCCCAGACAACUAGGAUGUUGGCUUAGAAGCAGCCAUCAUUUAAAGAGUGCGUAAUAGCUCACUAGUCGAGUGACACUGCGCCGAAAAUGUACCGGGGCUAAACAUAUUACCGAAGCUGUGGAUUGUCCUUUGGACAAUGGUAGGAGAGCGUUCUAAGGGCGUUGAAGCAUGAUCGUAAGGACAUGUGGAGCGCUUAGAAGUGAGAAUGCCGGUGUGAGUAGCGAAAGACGGGUGAGAAUCCCGUCCACCGAUUGACUAAGGUUUCCAGAGGAAGGCUCGUCCGCUCUGGGUUAGUCGGGUCCUAAGCUGAGGCCGACAGGCGUAGGCGAUGGAUAACAGGUUGAUAUUCCUGUACCACCUAUAAUCGUUUUAAUCGAUGGGGGGACGCAGUAGGAUAGGCGAAGCGUGCGAUUGGAUUGCACGUCUAAGCAGUAAGGCUGAGUAUUAGGCAAAUCCGGUACUCGUUAAGGCUGAGCUGUGAUGGGGAGAAGACAUUGUGUCUUCGAGUCGUUGAUUUCACACUGCCGAGAAAAGCCUCUAGAUAGAAAAUAGGUGCCCGUACCGCAAACCGACACAGGUAGUCAAGAUGAGAAUUCUAAGGUGAGCGAGCGAACUCUCGUUAAGGAACUCGGCAAAAUGACCCCGUAACUUCGGGAGAAGGGGUGCUCUUUAGGGUUAACGCCCAGAAGAGCCGCAGUGAAUAGGCCCAAGCGACUGUUUAUCAAAAACACAGGUCUCUGCUAAACCGUAAGGUGAUGUAUAGGGGCUGACGCCUGCCCGGUGCUGGAAGGUUAAGAGGAGUGGUUAGCUUCUGCGAAGCUACGAAUCGAAGCCCCAGUAAACGGCGGCCGUAACUAUAACGGUCCUAAGGUAGCGAAAUUCCUUGUCGGGUAAGUUCCGACCCGCACGAAAGGCGUAACGAUUUGGGCACUGUCUCAACGAGAGACUCGGUGAAAUCAUAGUACCUGUGAAGAUGCAGGUUACCCGCGACAGGACGGAAAGACCCCGUGGAGCUUUACUGUAGCCUGAUAUUGAAAUUCGGCACAGCUUGUACAGGAUAGGUAGGAGCCUUUGAAACGUGAGCGCUAGCUUACGUGGAGGCGCUGGUGGGAUACUACCCUAGCUGUGUUGGCUUUCUAACCCGCACCACUUAUCGUGGUGGGAGACAGUGUCAGGCGGGCAGUUUGACUGGGGCGGUCGCCUCCUAAAAGGUAACGGAGGCGCUCAAAGGUUCCCUCAGAAUGGUUGGAAAUCAUUCAUAGAGUGUAAAGGCAUAAGGGAGCUUGACUGCGAGACCUACAAGUCGAGCAGGGUCGAAAGACGGACUUAGUGAUCCGGUGGUUCCGCAUGGAAGGGCCAUCGCUCAACGGAUAAAAGCUACCCCGGGGAUAACAGGCUUAUCUCCCCCAAGAGUUCACAUCGACGGGGAGGUUUGGCACCUCGAUGUCGGCUCAUCGCAUCCUGGGGCUGUAGUCGGUCCCAAGGGUUGGGCUGUUCGCCCAUUAAAGCGGUACGCGAGCUGGGUUCAGAACGUCGUGAGACAGUUCGGUCCCUAUCCGUCGUGGGCGUAGGAAAUUUGAGAGGAGCUGUCCUUAGUACGAGAGGACCGGGAUGGACAUACCUCUGGUGUACCAGUUGUCGUGCCAACGGCAUAGCUGGGUAGCUAUGUGUGGACGGGAUAAGUGCUGAAAGCAUCUAAGCAUGAAGCCCCCCUCAAGAUGAGAUUUCCCAACUUCGGUUAUAAGAUCCCUCAAAGAUGAUGAGGUUAAUAGGUUCGAGGUGGAAGCAUGGUGACAUGUGGAGCUGACGAAUACUAAUCGAUCGAAGACUUAAUCAA
RNAcentral lists this ribosomal RNA (2921 nucleotides) under Staphylococcus aureus M0630. RNAcentral's name for it is "bacterial LSU rRNA". It matches the Rfam family "Bacterial large subunit ribosomal RNA". The record is from RNAcentral. Lineage: Bacteria; Bacillati; Bacillota; Bacilli; Caryophanales; Staphylococcaceae.